RNAcentral lists this transfer RNA (72 nucleotides) under Pangasianodon gigas (Mekong giant catfish). RNAcentral describes it as "tRNA-Glu". RNAcentral also lists the same sequence under 1 other name. Lineage: Eukaryota; Metazoa; Chordata; Actinopteri; Siluriformes; Pangasiidae. The record is from RNAcentral.
UCCCUGGAGGACUAGUGAUUAGACCACAGCGCUCUCACCACUGUGGCUUGGGUUCGAUUCCUGGCCAGGAAA